UACAGAGGUCUCGAGCGUUGAUCGGAAUUAUUGGGCUUAAAGGGUGCGUAGGAGGGCAGGUAAGUCAGUGGUGAAAUCUCCAAGCUUAACUUGGAAACUGCCGUUGAUACUAUCUGUCUUGAAUAUUGUGGAGGUGAGCGGAAUAUGUCAUGUAGCGGUGAAAUGCUUAGAUAUGACAUAGAACACCAAUUGCGAAGGCAGCUCACUACUCAAUCAUUGACUCUGAGGCACGAAAGCGUGGGGAUCAAACAGG
RNAcentral lists this ribosomal RNA (253 nucleotides) under uncultured bacterium. RNAcentral describes it as "partial 16S ribosomal RNA". It matches the Rfam family "Bacterial small subunit ribosomal RNA", at positions 524 to 776 of the family's 1533-position model. The record is from RNAcentral.